UACGAAGGGGGCUAGCGUUGCUCGGAAUCACUGGGCGUAAAGGGUGCGUAGGCGGGGCUUUAAGUCAGGGGUGAAAUCCUGGAGCUCAACUCCAGAACUGCCUUUGAUACUGAGGGUCUUGAGUCCGGGAGAGGUGAGUGGAACUGCGAGUGUAGAGGUGAAAUUCGUAGAUAUUCGCAAGAACACCAGUGGCGAAGGCGGCUCACUGGCCCGGUACUGACGCUGAGGCACGAAAGCGUGGGGAGCAAACAGG
RNAcentral lists this ribosomal RNA (253 nucleotides) under uncultured bacterium. RNAcentral's name for it is "partial 16S ribosomal RNA". It matches the Rfam family "Bacterial small subunit ribosomal RNA", at positions 524 to 776 of the family's 1533-position model. The record is from RNAcentral.